This 470-nucleotide ribosomal RNA is filed under the name uncultured bacterium. Its description in RNAcentral is "partial 16S ribosomal RNA". It matches the Rfam family "Bacterial small subunit ribosomal RNA", at positions 28 to 507 of the family's 1533-position model. The record is from RNAcentral.
GACGAACGCUGGCGGCGUGCUUAACACAUGCAAGUCGAACGCUGAAGCACCAGCUUGCUGGUGUGGAUGAGUGGCGAACGGGUGAGUAAUACGUGAGUAACCUGCCCUUGACUCUGGGAUAAGCCCGGGAAACUGGGUCUAAUACUGGAUGCUACAUGUCACCGCAUGGUGGUGUGUGGAAAGGGUUUACUGGUCUUGGAUGGGCUCACGGCCUAUCAGCUUGUUGGUGAGGUAAUGGCUCACCAAGGCGACGACGGGUAGCCGGCCUGAGAGGGUGACCGGCCACACUGGGACUGAGACACGGCCCAGACUCCUACGGGAGGCAGCAGGGGGGAAGAUUGCACAAUGGGCGAAAGCCUGAUGCAGCGACGCCGCGUGAGGGAUGACGGCCUUCGGGUUGUAAACCUCUUUCAGCAGGGAAGAAGCCACAAGUGACGGUACCUGCAGAAGAAGCGCCGGCUAACUACGUG